Molecule: ribosomal RNA, 239 nt
Filed under: uncultured bacterium
Lineage: Bacteria
Description: partial 16S ribosomal RNA
Rfam family: Bacterial small subunit ribosomal RNA
Source: RNAcentral
GCAAGUUGAACGCGCACUUCGGUGCGAGUGGCGAAAGGGUGAGUAACGCGUGAGCGAUCUGCCCCCAAGUUUGGAAUAACUGUUGGAAACGGCAGCUAAUACCGGAUGUGGUUAUAAGACUACCUGGUUUUAUAACUAAAGAUUUAUUGCUUGGGGAUGAGCUCGCGUCCCAUUAUGCUAGUUGGUUGAGGUAACGGCUCACCAAGGCGAUGACGGGUAGGUGAUCUGAGAGGAUGUUC